RNA transcript from Dioscorea cayenensis subsp. rotundata (Guinea yam), 1655 nucleotides. It is a transcript of the gene named spermidine synthase 2-like, with no coding region annotated. The transcript has 11 exons. The record is from RefSeq and is a predicted model, not a curated record. Lineage: Eukaryota; Viridiplantae; Streptophyta; Magnoliopsida; Dioscoreales; Dioscoreaceae.
CGGCAUCUCUUCUCGCUCGCUCUUUUCAUUUCUCUUCUUCUCCGCCGACGUCUCGAGAGAAGAAAAGGAGCGAAAAGCGAGCGCCGAAAAGCUCUCCACGAUAGAGACCCAAAGCGAAGCAGGAGCAUCGUGCGUUGAUUCCCAUCUUGUGCUUGACGACAUCGCUAGAUCGCCUUCUUCUCCGCCAUUGAAACCAGCUGAGGGUUUUUUAUUUCUGAACUGGUAGAUUGAAAACUACAGAGGCAACAAAGUCAUGGACAUUAGUGGUAGAGGUGGAGGUUCUGAGGCCGCGGAGAACGUGAAGUUAAAUGGAGCUGGGGGAAGUGCCUCUCCGAAGCGCAUCCCUCCUUGCUGUCAGAAAGCUAUGGCUUCCUUGCCAGAAUCGGAAGCCAAGUGCCAUGCCACUGUGGUUUCCGGGUGGUUCUCUCAGUAUAAAGAGGGCAAGCCAUUGUAUUACAACAACCCAAUGUGGCCUGGAGAAGCUCAUUCUCUGAAAGUGGAAAAGAUUUUAUUCCAAGGAAAGUCAGACUACCAAGAGAUCUUGGUCUUUGAGUCUACAGUUUAUGGUAAAGUUCUUGUGCUCGAUGGAAUUAUCCAGUUGACUGAAGCAGAUGAGUGUGCAUAUCAAGAAAUGAUUGCUCACCUUCCUCUUUGUUCAAUCCCAUCCCCCAAAACUGUUUUGGUGAUAGGAGGUGGUGAUGGUGGUGUGGUUCGAGAAAUUUCACGGCACAGUUCCGUGGAGACAAUUGAUAUAUGUGAGAUAGACAAAUUAGUUAUUGAUGUCUGUAAGCAAUUCUUUCCAGAUUUAUCUGUUGGAUUUGAGGAUCCUCGAGUUCGACUUCAUGUUGAUGAUGCUGUGGAAUUUUUAAGGAAUGCUUCUGAAGGGGCAUAUGAUGCCAUCAUUGUUGAUUCAUCUGAUCCAAUAGGGCCAGCUCAAGAGCUUGUUGAAAAGCCAUUCUUUGAGACAAUAGCGAGGGCAUUGAGGCCAGGUGGUGUUCUAUGUAACCAAGCAGAGAGCAUGUGGCUUCACACACAUCUUAUUCAGGACAUGCUCUCUAUCUGUCAUGAAGUCUUUAAAGGUUCUGUGCGUUAUGCCUGGACAAGUGUGCCAACAUACCCUAGGGUUGGAUGCCUUCAUUUGACUGGCCUUUGGCAGUGGUGUCAUUGGAUUUAUACUGUGCUCAAAGGAUGGAUCACCUGUUGAUUUUGUGAAUCCUGUAAACCCAAUUGAGAAGAUUAAAGGAACAACGCUCAAGUCCAAGAAGGAACUCCAUUUUUAUAAUUCAGAGGUACACAAGGCUGCAUUUGCAUUGCCCUCUUUUGCAAAGAGGGAGCUGAGGACCUUAACAAGGGCAACAACCAUGUUGGGGGCUGCUUUGACUUCAUAAUUUGCUGUUUAGGACUAGAUCUAAAACCCUAGAUUGUUUUCUUUCGGGAGGAUAUCACCUUGUUCAGAUGAAUUCCUGUCCAUAAAAAAUCCUUUGGAGGAUACCACGGAAGUAUUGUUACUCUUAAUGGCGUAGGAGAAGCUAAUACAUCAUAAUCUGAAUAAAUGUAUACUAUUGCAUAUUUUAUUUUACUUUUACUGUAUGUUGUAGUAAAUAACACUUGGAACAAAUUGUUACUGAAUGGCAUCCUCCAGGACUUAAGGUUUU